CUUCGGCCAUCUUGGCAUUUGGCAUCUUCAUUUUCAUUUCAUCUUGGCCACCUUGCCCGGCCUUGCCUUGCCGUGGAUAGUUUGUAUUAUUUGUGCUUUUUAAGAAUAUUUUUUUAAUUCGGAUACUUUUAUAAUAGCUUUAAUAGUAUUAUUAACAUAGUGCAUAAAAUGGUGUCCUGUUUUUGACGCAGUUGGAGUAGCAGAAACAAAUGUAGAUAAAAAAAUCUGCAGGAAUAACGUUUCAAUUAUGACAGAAGCUCGAAACAAAUGACUGUGAAUUAGUGUGAAUGAAAAGCCCUAUUAAAAGCUUUCCAGAAGAUCCCGCGAAGAAGACAUGAAGUAUAGAUCAGAUUUGUUAAUAGAGGAGUAUGUUCAAAACACUUUUUAGAAAAAGAUAUUGACAGAACUUCACUUUCAUCUGUUCGUUUGAGAGACUGUGCUGUUCCAAUAGCUUAUGUCACACAGAAUCAGCUGAGAGAAGUGGUCUACAAAAAACCAGAGAGGAAACGGAAUAUGUGGCUACGAAAAGCAAAAGAAAGGUUUACAAAGCAAAUGUGACACAUUUUUUUAUAAUAUUUAGGAAUGUCAGUAAAUUACAUUAAAAAAUGUAUGUAAAGAUUUUUUGCAAUAAAAAUGUUUAUAUUUAUCAAGGAUGUAUUAUUUGGUAUGGCCACAUAUCGUCAGUGAUGUGACAAUACCUCCUAUCUGUUUUUUUCAAGAGAUUUGUAAGAUAGACUAAAAACUUGUUUCGGCCACCUCCUGUUUUCAUAUAUUUUUUGACUUGUUUUGCAGUAAAUUCAACUAUCUAUUUACUACAAAAAAAGUCAGAAUACGUACGAAAACAGAAAGUGACCUUAAAAAAUGUUUUUCGUCUCCUGCAAACCUCAUGAAAAAACAUAUAGGAGGUAUUGUCACAUUACUGACGAUAUAUUUCAGUGAAUGUCUAAAAAAUAUACUGUGAAUGUUCAAAGAACGUUCGUAGACAUUCAUGGAAUGUUCUAACAAGACAUUCAGUCUAAAAAUAUACUGUGAAAGUCCAAAGAACAUUCA
This is a long non-coding RNA of Diabrotica virgifera virgifera (western corn rootworm), 1050 nucleotides long. RefSeq lists it as uncharacterized. The transcript is spliced from 3 exons. NCBI's taxonomy places the organism in Eukaryota, Metazoa, Arthropoda, Insecta, Coleoptera, Chrysomelidae. The record is from RefSeq and is a predicted model, not a curated record.